RNAcentral lists this ribosomal RNA (428 nucleotides) under Pseudomonadota bacterium. Its description in RNAcentral is "Proteobacteria bacterium partial 16S ribosomal RNA". It matches the Rfam family "Bacterial small subunit ribosomal RNA", at positions 355 to 776 of the family's 1533-position model. Lineage: Bacteria; Pseudomonadati; Pseudomonadota. The record is from RNAcentral.
UGGGGAAUAUUGGACAAUGGGCGAAAGCCUGAUCCAGCCAUGCCGCGUGUGUGAAGAAGGUCUUCGGAUUGUAAAGCACUUUAAGUUGGGAGGAAGGGCAGUAAGCGAAUACCUUGCUGUUUUGACGUUACCGACAGAAUAAGCACCGGCUAACUCUGUGCCAGCAGCCGCGGUAAUACAGAGGGUGCAAGCGUUAAUCGGAAUUACUGGGCGUAAAGCGCGCGUAGGUGGUCCGUAAAGUUGAAUGUGAAAGCCCCGGGCUCAACCUGGAACGGGCAUCGAAAACUGGGGGGUUAGGUAGGGCAGAGGGUGGUGGAAUUUCCUGUGUAGCGGUGAAAUGCGUAGAUAUAGGAAGGAACACCAGUGGCGAAGGCGACCACCUGGGCUCAUACUGACACUGAGGUGCGAAAGCGUAGGGAGCAAACAGG